RNAcentral lists this ribosomal RNA (164 nucleotides) under uncultured bacterium. Its description in RNAcentral is "partial 16S ribosomal RNA". It matches the Rfam family "Bacterial small subunit ribosomal RNA", at positions 355 to 509 of the family's 1533-position model. The record is from RNAcentral.
UGGGGAAUAUUGCGCAAUGGGCGAAAGCCUGACGCAGCGACGCCGCGUGAGGGAUGAAGGUCUUCGGAUCGUAAACCUCUGUCAGCAGGGAAGAACGGUCACUGUGCUAAUCAGCAGUGAAUUGACGGUACCUGCAAAAGGGAAGCACCGGCUAACUCCGUGCC